GACGAACGCUGGCGGCGUGCUUAACACAUGCAAGUCGAACGGAAAGGCCCUGCUUUUGUGGGGUGCUCGAGUGGCGAACGGGUGAGUAACACGUGAGUAACCUGCCCUUGACUUUGGGAUAACUUCAGGAAACUGGGGCUAAUACCGGAUAGGAGCUCCUGCUGCAUGGUGGGGGUUGGAAAGUUUCGGCGGUUGGGGAUGGACUCGCGGCUUAUCAGCUUGUUGGUGGGGUAGUGGCUUACCAAGGCUUUGACGGGUAGCCGGCCUGAGAGGGUGACCGGGCAAAAUGGGACUGAGAUACCGGCCAGACUCCUACGGGGGGGAAGAGUUGGGAAUAUUUCCACAUGGGCGGAAGCCUGAUUCAGGCACGCCGCGGGCGGGAAGACGGCCUUCGGGUUGUAAACCGCUUUCGCCUGUGACGAAGCGGGAGUGACGGGAAUGGGUAAAGAAGCAACGGCUAACUACGUG
This 468-nucleotide ribosomal RNA is filed under the name uncultured bacterium. RNAcentral describes it as "partial 16S ribosomal RNA". It matches the Rfam family "Bacterial small subunit ribosomal RNA", at positions 28 to 507 of the family's 1533-position model. The record is from RNAcentral.